UAUGGUAGUUCCCAGACUAGGGGUCCCAUCUGAGCUACAGCUGCUGGCCUAUGCCACAGCCACAGCAACAUGGGAUCUGAGCCACAUCUGUGACCUACACCACAGCUCACAGCAAUGCCAGAUCCUUAACCCACUGAUGGAGGCUAGGGAUCGAACCCGCAUCCUCAUGGAUACUAGGUGGGUUCGUUUCUGCUGAGCCUCAGCAGGAACUCCUGUUACUAAGACAUAACUUUGCAGUGGAAGAUUUUCCAAAUCUUUCAGAGGAAUCCACGUUACUACAAGAGGAUCAGGAUUAUUAUAGUAGCAAAAGAAAGAAAAAUAUCAUCAUUGUCAUCAUCACUGGUUUGAGCGUUUGGUUUGUGCCAGGCACUCUAUUAAACUCUUUACAUCAAUUAUCUAAUUUGUUCUUUUCACUUUGUUCUUUGCAACAGGUCCUCAAGAGAGGUUAAUUUAAAGAAUUUCAAAAGGGGCUCUUAAUUUACACUCUAAGCAAGUACUUUUCAAUCAAAACUGCUUAUUGGAAUCUCAACUGGGAAAUGCAAAAAUAGAAAACCUGCUUUAGACGGAAUAUUUGUGCCCCCCCCCCACUAUGAUAUGUUGAAAACUAGUGCCCAGUGUGACCGUAUUAGGAGGUGGGGCCUUUGGGGUGGUUAGGUUAUGAGGGACGCUUGCUCUCACAAGACACUGAAUCAACUGGUGUUUUGGUCUUGGUCUCCCUCGCCUCCGGAACUGUGAAACAUAAAUUUCUGUGGUUGAUAAGAUGCCUAGUUUAUGCUAUAUCGUUACAGCAGCCCAAACAGACUAAGACAGGCCCCAAUCAAACUACCUGCAUGAGAAUCUCUGGUGAAGGCUGAUGGGAGCCACUGGUGUAUGUUCCUUCCUAAAUGACUGUCUCUGUAACCAGGCUUAAAGAUCAUUGCCAAAACCUUUGGAUUGUGAGCCAAAAGUUUUACUGUGCAAUAUCAGACUUUAUUGAAAAAAGUAAAAGUGUUUUAAAGAUUUUAAAUGAAGUCGAUGAAGGAAGACGGGAUAUGUCAAAAAAUACUUUGGAGAAGGAAUUUGAAAAAAAUCCAGAUUAUUUUGCAUCCUCAAGGUAAAGAGAUGAACAUCUCCUGUCUGGCAAGUCCAAGGAAUGAAGUGUAAUGGAGCAUGAUCAGUGCUGGCUGAGGAAGACUAAAGGAUAAGAGGAAGAGGAGGGAUGGGAAGAGGAGCUGAUCCGACAUCCAGAGACUGCCUUGCGACAUUGGACGUUCGUCCUAAAGUGCCCUGGCCUGAGAGGACAGCACCUACAGACCAUCGCAGCGGUGAGACAAGUUUUCCUCUCCAUGUAAUCCGGCACAAGCUGUGCUUUCUCUUGCCACAAGUGAAUACUGGACUUCGCCCUACAUGCCCUAUAUUGAGACUCUCUUCUUCAAAGACCCAGGAUGCGGACAAGCCCACUGACUCAGAGGAUAGUAUUUAAACGGAUAUUGGUUGUGUGGAAUGGAAAAAUCCCAGUAUCUGUAUUUGAUGGGAAUAGAUUCUUAGAAAACCAACUCUAUGACAGGAAAAAAUAGACUAAUUUUUCUAUAGACCUCUAUGAUUACAUUGAAUUAUUUUUGAAAAUGAUACUUUGUAUGUGAGAUAUGCAUUAUUUUAAUUAUACACAGUCAAAUGUAUAGCAAAACUUCUCUAGAAUUAAUCAGUAAACAUCGUCUGUAAUAAAGCUGGAUUAUAAUACAUUUCUAAAGAUACAAGUGAGAAUACUAUCCUUUGUUAUAAUUUCUAUAAUAAAGUACACAUAUUUAUCUCUCUGUGUAUCUAAGUAAAUACAAUAAAAAGUUUUAGAUAAUUAUUUGACUGUUAGUAGAAAGCUACUUAUAGACCUUCUAAAAAAUUCUAAGAAUUAUUUUGUGUCUAAUUUAGUACUAUGUAUUCCGGUAAUGUAUAUAAUCAGUUUCUCCUGACAUUUAAAGUUAUUACAAUAUCUAUACUUUAAAGUCAAUUCUUUUAUCUUUGUUUCACAAUGAUCUGUAAGCAGCAGUUGUUUUUCAAUUAUUCAUGUAAAUCGGACACUAUUUCAGAGUUUUCUCAGGGCUUUCUUAUCUUCUGCAGUGUUGAACUAAAAUAACUUUUAAAUUUGUUAUUUUUUCAAGAUGUGUUAAAUCACUUCCUUUGUAUUCAUGAUGCACAUUUUUUUCACUGUUUUUGUUAUUAGCUACCAUUAGGAAAUGUAUACUUGCACUAUACUUUACCUGAAGUGAUGCAAUAACAGUUACUCAUACAACCAGGGACACCACAGUAGGAAAUGCUGGGAUAUUCUUUCUAGCUUUUUUUUUUUUAAGUAGUUAAAUUAUAGCUAUUGUUUCAGGAUAUUGCAUAGAGGCAAGGAGAAUCAAUGACCUUCAAUCAAAUCUUGGUUAAUCAUUGUCCAGGAGCUCAUUAUUCAACUUAAUCCAUGAACUCACCAAGGGUAAAUGAAUGCUAUAACGCCUAGAGGAACCGUCAUUUUGUCAAGAUAAAUGACCUGUAGGUGUGGCUUAAGCUUCUUUGCUAUAACUGGCAUAUGUGUCUUUCAUCUCUAUCGGUCUAUCUUUGAAAUGGUAGAGCUGGAGAACAUAUCAACUUUUUUCACAUUAAAUCAGAAAAAAAAGUCACUAAGUGGACCAUGUGAAAAUACAGUAGAUAACAAGAAAUUGUCUUUUUCUGCCAGAGGCUACCUGAUUCUGGCAUAUUUGUGGUUUUUUUUUUUGGCUGUGAGUAAUAGAAGAUCAAAACCACCCAUUUUGGGAACUAUGGGCCCCUACAAAAUGAAUGAGCAAGAGUCACAUCAAAACUCACCGCCAUGAAAUUUAAAAUCACUGGAGAUAAAGAAAGGUCAUCCAAAUAUGAAAUAAGAAACAAAUAUAGUAAAACCAAAAAAUUCAGGAACUGCUAAAAAAAUAAAAUAAAAUCAGGAAUCAGAUCCGCAUCAGACUUCUCAACAGCUCAACUGAGAAACAAUGGAACAGCAGACACUUGGCUAAGUGAUUUUCAACAUCGAAACUGACACUCAACACUACCAGUUAUGUCUGAAGUGCUAUCAGGACAUCUUCAGACAUGUAAAUUUAUAAAAACGUCACCUUCCACACCCUUUCUCAGGAAGCUGCUGUGGGAUCUGCUCCUUCAGAGCAAUAGGUAAAGCAAGAAAGAAAAAUGUGAAGUCACGAAACAGGUGAUCUAGCACUUGAGAGAGGUUGUGAGAAUUUUCCAGUUGAAGUCAACAGGCAGCAUUAGGAUAACA
Molecule: long non-coding RNA, 3262 nt
Filed under: Sus scrofa (pig)
Lineage: Eukaryota; Metazoa; Chordata; Mammalia; Artiodactyla; Suidae
Description: lncRNA (ENSSSCG00000057167.1)
Source: RNAcentral